GAUAAACGCUGGCGGCGUGCUUAGCACAUGCAAGUCGAACGAAGUUUUUCCUUCGGGAGCAACUUAGUGGCGGACGGGUGCGUAGCGCGUGGGUAACCUGCCCUGUACAGGGGGACAACAGCUGGAAACGGCUGCUAAUACCGCAUAAGCCCUUAGUACUGCAUGGUGCAUAGGGAAAAGGAGCAAUCCGGUACAGGAUGGACCCGCGUCUGAUUAGCCAGUUGGCAGGGUAACGGCCUACCAAAGCGACGAUCAGUAGCCGAUCUGAGAGGAUGUACGGCCACAUUGGGACUGAGACACGGCACGGACUCCUACGGGAUGCAGCAGUGGGGAAUAUUGCACAAUGGAGGAAACUCUGAUGCAGCGACGCCGCGUGAGUGAAGAAGUAUUUCGGUAUGUAAAGCGCUAUCAGCAGGGAAGAAAAUGACGGUACCUGACUAAGAAGCACCGGCUAAAUACGUG
RNAcentral lists this ribosomal RNA (462 nucleotides) under uncultured bacterium. Its description in RNAcentral is "partial 16S ribosomal RNA". It matches the Rfam family "Bacterial small subunit ribosomal RNA", at positions 28 to 507 of the family's 1533-position model. The record is from RNAcentral.